Oreochromis aureus is the source of this 491-nucleotide long non-coding RNA. The record is from Ensembl. Lineage: Eukaryota; Metazoa; Chordata; Actinopteri; Cichliformes; Cichlidae.
GAGCAAGACGCUAACUUCGGUGUCCUCUCUAUUAAUCCACAGUUUGCUCAUACUUGGCUACGCAGUGCUCUCUAGCCUGUGUGCCGCUUGCUGCCGGUCCAGAUUCCCCUAGAUCUGGUGCAGGUAACAUUUGCAUGAUCCAGUUGUAAUCUAAUAGCUUGAGGUUACUAUUAAUCAAUUGUUUUUGUGAUUUUACACAAAUUGACUUCCAUGUAGCCUCAGAAGUAUUGAUAUGUAAGUCAUUUCUCCAAGAUUCUAACUUAAAAUCUCCAGAAAACAAAUCUAAAUUAAAAAAAAAUCUGAAAGAGACUUUUAUUUAUUUUUUUAUUUUUUAUUUUUGAUGUUGAUGUCUCUAUUUUUAUUUCAAAAAAUGAAAUUAUUCAUUUCAGUUUCUAUGCCAAUUUUUCUAUGAUGCCAGUUCACAACAAAAGUUGCGUGAAAGCGCUUUAUACUGUAAGGUGAAAACCCUGCAGUAUUGUGGCGAAAACCCC